UGAUUGCUUUGUCGUGGUGUACAACACAGUAUUGAUCGUGAAAUUUUGUGUCAUGGUCUGGACUGUGUUUACUUGGCAACACUUUUUCUUUGAAAUUUGUGAACUAUGUUGAAAUAAGGAUUUUAGUGAUUUGAUAAAUUGGACGUGCUUCAUUUGUAUGAAAAUAUUGAUCUGCUAUGAAUUGUUUUAUUUUAUUUCAUAAUGAUUUCCAAUGAAUAUCAGUUGUGUGCCACUGAGUAAAAAUUACUCAGCGAUAGCUUUUAUUUGUUGUCGCAGAUAAGGAAAAAGAUAAAGCAACAGAGUGAGCUGCUACAGUGAUAGGAGAGCAUUGUUGGAGAUUUUGUACAGGUAUAUUAAUUAUACCCUUGUAAUUUAGUUUGAUGUAAAUAUUUUUAUUCAUAUGUAUCUUUUGAAUUGGUUGAGUAGUUGUACAGUCAAGUUGUAAUGUUAUUGCUUUCGUUUUCUUUUCUGUAAAAUUAUGACUUUUGUAUGUAUAUAUUUUUUAAUGAAAUGAAAUUUAUGUUAUUUGAAAAUGUGUUGAAUUGAGAAUUGGUGAACAUUGAGAUUAAUUUGAAACUGUGUUGAAAAUUGUGUUGAGUUAAGACUUGAUGAAAUUAUGAUUGAGGAAAAUAUAUUGAAAAUGUCUUCUUUUUAGGUUUUUGAAGAACUGUUUUCUCAAAAUACAGUCGGCAUUCUGUCGAAAUUUUUAUAAAAAUUGCGGAGAUUUUAGAUAAAUCAAUAAUUUAAUUUUGAUAUGAAUUCCAAUUAAAGGAUUUUUAAUAAUUAAGAAAUAUGACCCACCAUUUUAAAUUGAAAGGAAAAGGGUUUAAAACAGUGUUAUCAAAGGCGAGCAAGGAGCCCAGGCGAGCAAGGCGCCAGGUGAGACGAGGCGCCCCUCUGUCGCCUCAA
RNAcentral lists this unclassified non-coding RNA (909 nucleotides) under Hevea brasiliensis (rubber tree). The record is from RNAcentral. Lineage: Eukaryota; Viridiplantae; Streptophyta; Magnoliopsida; Malpighiales; Euphorbiaceae.